CCUACGGGUGGCUGCAGUGGGGAAUAUUGGACAAUGGGGGGAACCCUGAUCCAGCCAUGCCGCGUGUGUGAAGAAGGCCCUCGGGUUGUAAAGCACUUUCAGUGAGGAAGAACGCCUGGUGGUUAAUACCCAUCAGGAAAGACAUCACUCACAGAAGAAGCACCGGCUAACUCCGUGCCAGCAGCCGCGGUAAUACGGAGGGUGCGAGCGUUAAUCGGAAUUACUGGGCGUAAAGCGCGCGUAGGUGGCUUGAUAAGCCGGUUGUGAAAGCCCAGGGCUCAACCUGGGAACGGCAUCCGGAACUGUCAAGCUAGAGUGCAGGAGAGGAAGGUAGAAUUCCCGGUGUAGCGGUGAAAUGCGUAGAGAUCGGGAGGAAUACCAGUGGCGAAGGCGGCCUUCUGGACUGACACUGACACUGAGGUGCGAAAGCGUGGGUAGCAAACAGGAUUAGAUACCCCAGUAGUC
RNAcentral lists this ribosomal RNA (465 nucleotides) under Vreelandella stevensii. RNAcentral's name for it is "partial 16S ribosomal RNA". It matches the Rfam family "Bacterial small subunit ribosomal RNA", at positions 338 to 795 of the family's 1533-position model. Lineage: Bacteria; Pseudomonadati; Pseudomonadota; Gammaproteobacteria; Oceanospirillales; Halomonadaceae. The record is from RNAcentral.